This 497-nucleotide ribosomal RNA is filed under the name uncultured bacterium. RNAcentral's name for it is "partial 16S ribosomal RNA". It matches the Rfam family "Bacterial small subunit ribosomal RNA", at positions 28 to 507 of the family's 1533-position model. The record is from RNAcentral.
GAUGAACGCUGGCCGCGUGCCUAAUACAUGCAAGUCGAGCGAACAGACGAGGAGCUUGCUCCUCUGACGUUAGCGGCGGACGGGUGAGUAACACGUGGAUAACCUACCUAUAAGACUGGGAUAACUUCGGGAAAACGGAGCUAAUACCGGAUAACAUGUUGAACCGCAUGGUUCAACAGUGAAAGACGGUUUUGCUGUCACUUAUAGAUGGAUCCGCGUCGCAUUAGCUAGUUGGUAAGGUAACGGCUUACCAAGGCAACGAUGCGUAGCCGACCUGAGAGGGUGAUCGGCCACACUGGAACUGAGACACGGUCCAGACUCCUACGGGAGGCAGCAGUAGGGAAUCUUCCGCAAUGGGCGAAAGCCUGACGGAGCAACGCCGCGUGAGUGAAGAAGGUCUUCGGAUCGUAAAACUCUGUUAUUAGGGAAGAACAAAUGUGUAAGUAACUAUGCACGGCUUGACGGUACCUAAGCAGAAAGCCACGGCUAACUACGUG